RNAcentral lists this ribosomal RNA (163 nucleotides) under uncultured bacterium. RNAcentral describes it as "partial 16S ribosomal RNA". It matches the Rfam family "Bacterial small subunit ribosomal RNA", at positions 1338 to 1500 of the family's 1533-position model. The record is from RNAcentral.
GUAAUCGCAGAUCAGCAUGCUGCGGUGAAUACGUUCCCGGGCCUUGUACACACCGCCCGUCACACCAUGGGAGUCGGUAACACCCGAAGUCGGUAGUCUAACCGAAAGGAGGACGCCGCCGAAGGUGGGAUUGAUGACUGGGGUGAAGUCGUAACAAGGUACC